Non-coding RNA from Mycena leptocephala, 101 nucleotides. Lineage: Eukaryota; Fungi; Basidiomycota; Agaricomycetes; Agaricales; Mycenaceae. The record is from the annotation of a GenBank genome assembly.
GACCUGAUAGCACAGUUGGCUAGUGCAUCUGUUCAAAUUGCUAAUCAAUCGUGUUUCGCCGUAUAAACAGAAGACCCCCGGUUUGAACCCAGGUCAGGUCA